Molecule: unclassified non-coding RNA, 395 nt
Filed under: soil metagenome
Description: partial contains 5.8S ribosomal RNA, internal transcribed spacer 2, and large subunit ribosomal RNA
Rfam family: 5.8S ribosomal RNA (bases 1-122)
Source: RNAcentral
GAUGAAGAACGUAGCGAAAUGCGAUACUUGGUGUGAAUUGCAGAAUCCCGUGAACCAUCGAGUCUUUGAACGCAAGUUGCGCCCGAAGCCAUCAGGUUGAGGGCACGUCUGCCUGGGCGUCACAUAUCGUUGCCCAAUGCCUAUUGCAGUGCAAUAGGAAUUUCUAGGGCGAAUGAUGGCUUCCCGUGAGCGUUGUUGCCUCGCGGUUGGUUGAAAAUCGAGUCCUUGGUAGGGUGUGCCAUGGUAGAUGGUGGUCGAGUUAGAACGAUACCGAUCAUGUGCAUGCUCCCCAAAAUAUGGCCUCUAUGACCCACACGCGUCUUUUGACGCUCAUGACGAGACCUCAGGUCAGGCGGGGCUACCCGCUGAAUUUAAGCCUAUCAAUAAGCGGAGGA